GAUGAAUAAGGUUUCAUUAUGCAAAAAUCUUUAUUUAUAUUUGUUCUCACUUUAAUGUAUUCCCAUCAACAAGCUUUCUGUGUGUGAUCGUGUCAUUUUUCAAUAAUAUUUUUAAGAGGAAAAUGAAUGAAAAUGACUGAACAAACUAGUGCAUGCACCUUUCUGGUUUAAUUGCAUUUUUGUUUUCAUGUAAGUGUGUUUACUGAGAUUGAAAAUUUAUCUACCUUUUUUUGUGCUGACAAUAAUUUUUGGUGGUUCAUGCACUUCACAG
This 271-nucleotide unclassified non-coding RNA is filed under the name Hevea brasiliensis (rubber tree). Lineage: Eukaryota; Viridiplantae; Streptophyta; Magnoliopsida; Malpighiales; Euphorbiaceae. The record is from RNAcentral.